AAAUUGAAGAGUUUGAUCAUGGCUCAGAUUGAACGCUGGCGGCAGGCCUAACACAUGCAAGUCGAACGGUAACAGGAAGCAGCUUGCUGCUUUGCUGACGAGUGGCGGACGGGUGAGUAAUGUCUGGGAAACUGCCUGAUGGAGGGGGAUAACUACUGGAAACGGUGGCUAAUACCGCAUAACGUCGCAAGACCAAAGAGGGGGACCUUCGGGCCUCUUGCCAUCAGAUGUGCCCAGAUGGGAUUAGCUUGUUGGUGAGGUAACGGCUCACCAAGGCGACGAUCCCUAGCUGGUCUGAGAGGAUGACCAGCCACACUGGAACUGAGACACGGUCCAGACUCCUACGGGAGGCAGCA
RNAcentral lists this ribosomal RNA (356 nucleotides) under Salmonella enterica. RNAcentral's name for it is "bacterial SSU rRNA". It matches the Rfam family "Bacterial small subunit ribosomal RNA", at positions 1 to 353 of the family's 1533-position model. The record is from RNAcentral. RNAcentral also lists the same sequence under 2 other names. Lineage: Bacteria; Pseudomonadati; Pseudomonadota; Gammaproteobacteria; Enterobacterales; Enterobacteriaceae.